UAUGGUACUUGUGGGAAAGCAGCCGCGGUAAUACGUAUGGUGCAAGCGUUAUCCGGAUUUACUGGGUGUAAAGGGAGCGUAGACGGCUGUGUAAGUCUGAAGUGAAAGCCCGGGGCUCAACCCCGGGACUGCUUUGGAAACUAUGCAGCUAGAGUGUCGGAGAGGUAAGUGGAAUUCCCAGUGUAGCGGUGAAAUGCGUAGAUAUUGGGAGGAACACCAGUGGCGAAGGCGGCUUACUGGACGAUGACUGACGUUGAGGCUCGAAAGCGUGGGGAGCAAACAGG
RNAcentral lists this ribosomal RNA (284 nucleotides) under Coprococcus comes ATCC 27758. RNAcentral describes it as "partial 16S ribosomal RNA". It matches the Rfam family "Bacterial small subunit ribosomal RNA", at positions 493 to 776 of the family's 1533-position model. The record is from RNAcentral. Lineage: Bacteria; Bacillati; Bacillota; Clostridia; Lachnospirales; Lachnospiraceae.